GAUACUAGGGUCAAAAAGUCAUGCGUUUCAUGCUUGCAUGAAAAAGCAUGACUUCUUGACCCGCAAAACACCGAAAAGUAGCCAUUUUUCGUAGAAAAAUGAGCGGAUUUGAGGUGUUUCAGGAUUGCGGGAGCAUGAAAUGCGGAGCAAUCUGU
This 155-nucleotide small RNA is filed under the name pig gut metagenome. Its description in RNAcentral is "Clostridiales-1 RNA". It matches the Rfam family "Clostridiales-1 RNA". The record is from RNAcentral.